UGAACAGGCAGGAGGCUUUCCUCCAGGCUCCCUUCCAAGCUCCCGACCACUUCCAAGCUCCCGACCACUUCCACGCGGACUGAAAAGGGAGCCUUCCUUCCUAGGACUGCAAUGCCACGCGCGCCCAGAGCCCCGCGAGAACAGUCAGCGCGGAGCUCCCGCGCCCUGACUGCUGGGCGCCCGGAGGCAGUGGCCUGGCCGGGGAGGCGUUCCAGCGGGAAGACAGGCCCGAGCCGGCCUGGGGCCCUCGCUGGCCACCGGGGAACGUGUGCCGCGGGUUCUCAUGCCGCGAGGUGGAUCCCACAGCCAUCUCACACAGUGGAAUCAAGGAUAUAAUAAAACCUCCUGGAGGCAGAGGGGCACAAGGGCCGACGGCGCAGGUACAUACUGCUCCCUAAGGAUUCUCUCACACCAGCUGCAAACGGCUCAGCCCCAGCCUGCCGUCUACGCGUGGUUUGGCCGCCAGCACUUUUCUUCCGGGGCUGGGUUCUGCUCUCUUCGCUGUCCAAGUGAAACAACAUCACAGGAAACAAAAGCAUUUCCCAACCUUGUUAACUGUUCAAUUUCUUUCCUCUAGUGCUUUCAUAAUAAGAAUGUGCUAAACAACUAAAGUAGGAGCUACAGUGUCACUCCCAUCCCCUUUCCUAGAGGAGGAAAUGACACAUAGUCUGCUCAACUUUCUCAAAGGGCUCGUCAAGCAGUCUCCUGCUUCCCUUACCAAGCAGUAAAACAAGUUUUUAAAUCCCCUUCACCCGAGGGUUGAAUUUUGGAGGGCCCAGCCCUGCCUGCUCCGCCCGCGCUCCGGGCCUCAAGCCUCAGGUCUCUGACAGGGCAGAGACUAUUUUCAGCUGGAGUGGAGGCCACGAGGCCAUAUGGUCUGCUCUGACGCUGGUUUCAUCUGUCUGCCGUGGAGACCCUGGAAGACAACUUCGAGGGGUCUGGAUCGGAAGCCGUUGUCCAACCUGGCCAGCCGGGGGUGGGGGGAGUGGGUGGGGACAGAGGCACAAACGAGGCCUCUUCCCCGCAAGUGCGCUCUCGCCCUCCGGCCUCUGGCUUUGUGUGCAGGACAGUCACAGCCUCGGAAUUCCAACAGCGGCUAGGCAGUGUGGCCUUGGCCUGGCAGGUAGACCAGGUGGCCGGGGGCCUGGCCCAGCCCCGGCUUGCGCUUGCGGUGACGGGACACCCCAGCUGGGCACUGCACCUGCCCGUGGUUCUGUGAGCACUCGUGGGCUGUGUGCAGCCUUUCUCUCGGACAUGCCUCGUGGGUCUGUUUCCUGCUCUGGCCUGGCCGGCACACCAGGGAUCUUGGCGUCUCCUGACCUGACUUGGGCAAUGGUGCCUGGUGCCUGGGAGGCCUGCUGAGCAGAGCUCGACUGCAGCAGUCACCGUUUCUGAAAACGUCUGCAAGGGUCACAGCAAGACCCCAUUCCCAGGACCGACCGCCCCUGCAGUGAGCAGUACAUUUAGAAACAACAUUAAAAGCAAUGUUGGUCUCUGUACCUUGAAUUUUACAGGAUUUUUACUUCGAUGUUUGUCACUCAAUCCUUAUCCCUCCACUCCAGUGCAGGAGGCCUGUCGAUACCGUGCAGCCCCCUCCGGGCGGUGAGCAGCCCCUCAGCCCCUCCUGCUGAGACGUGUCUGGCAGGGCCUCCGUCCUGCCUGCAUGUCCGAGGAAAAGCAGCCAACAUUUCAAGAUCAAGAAUUUGGGGACAGAGGUGAAGUUUAUUCCAAAUCGCUGUCAGUCAGUUCCUAUGAAAGGAAAAAUGCAUUUGUUCCUCAGAAAGAGAACAGAACACAUUUGAUUACGCCAGACAUUUUGUUUAUUUUACCAGUACAUGUUUUUAAAAAUAGCAAGUAAUUAUUAUGCUUGAGUGCCUUCAAAGCCUCCCCAUCAUUCCAGUUUCAACUGUGUUGCUUCCAAGAAGACCUCAGGGGCUGCUAGCCUGUGGGAGUGAGAGGAGACGGCAGAGGGAGGGCAGCUAAGGAGAUGGCGGGAGGGGCAGGCUGCCAGAAGCUCAGCCGCGGAAACUAUAGCCUGGAUGAAUUACUUACUGUAUUUCCUCAACUGAAUUAAAGCAUGCUUGUCUUGGCAAGAAAAUCAAGGAGAUUAUAUUCUUGAGGUAGGAAAUAAAAGGUCAUAUAUGUUCCAAAGCUGUUGGGCUAGAAUCUACGGAGAAUAUUUCCAUAAAGACUUUAUACAUCCAGGCCCUUUGUAAAAACAUGAUUUGGAGAGAGUGAUACGGAGCAAAUAAAAACUAUAAGCUGGGAAGCAGACUUGGCUCAACAGAUAGAGCGUCCACCUACCAAAUGGGAGGUCCACGGUUCAAACCCACGGCCUUCUUGACCUGUGUGGUGAGCUGGUCCACGUGCAGUGCUGAUGUGUGCAAGGAGUGCUGGGCCACACAGGGGUGUCCCCUGUGUGUAGGGGAGCCCCAUGCGCAAGGAGUGCACCCCGUAAGGAGAGCUGCCGAGUGCAAAAGAAAGUGCAGCCUGCCCAGGAGUGGCGCCGCACACAUGGAGAGCUGACACAACAAGAUGACACAACCAAAAGAGACACAGAUUCCCGGCGCCGUCGACAAGAAUAUAAGCGGACACAGAAGAACACACAGCGAAUGGACACAGAGAGUAGACAACUGGGGUGGGAGG
Molecule: long non-coding RNA, 2646 nt
Organism: Dasypus novemcinctus (nine-banded armadillo)
Lineage: Eukaryota; Metazoa; Chordata; Mammalia; Cingulata; Dasypodidae
Source: Ensembl